GUGUGGAGGUAUUCGAGGACUAUUGUGGGGUUUCGGCUAUCUGGCUGUGCAACAGUUAUAUCAGCGAUCGAGUGGAGAUAUUCAGGACAGAAAGAGUGUGAGUUCUGGAAAGCAAGUGGAGACCAGGCCGCGCCAUCACUAUCGGAGGGAAGUUAAGAGACCUGAUCUGGGACUUCGAUCAAUUGUAUACAUCUGGACUGGGAGUGAUAACGUUGUGAAGUGGACGGAGCCAUCGUUGGAUCGCAGGAUCCUCUGGGCUGAACGCCGCAUGUGAUGUCCCUAUGAAAGGAGGUGGACACGAGAAUUAUUCCUUUUCCCGGUCUCGACCGAAACAUCCACGAGCUCUACUUACCCGGAUAUCCCCCCCUCAUUCCGGGACGGGUGACAGACUAUCCUGGCUCUUGCCGGCCCCGUACAGGCACGAACUGCCGACGACUCCACGCCUCCCCGGCGUCCGAGGUCUGGCUUCGUUCUGGUCGGGAGACACGGAAGGAACACUGAACUUUUAAAUUGCUUUUAACCAAAUAAAACCUUGUUCAAUUUU
Long non-coding RNA from Cyprinus carpio carpio, 544 nucleotides. Lineage: Eukaryota; Metazoa; Chordata; Actinopteri; Cypriniformes; Cyprinidae. The record is from Ensembl.